Molecule: ribosomal RNA, 513 nt
Filed under: uncultured bacterium
Lineage: Bacteria
Description: partial 16S ribosomal RNA
Rfam family: Bacterial small subunit ribosomal RNA
Source: RNAcentral
GACGAACGCUGGCGGCAUGCCUAAUACAUGCAAGUCGAGCGAACAGAUGAAGUGCUUGCACUUCUGACGUUAGCGGCGAACGGGUGAGUAACACGUAAGGAAUCUACCUAUAAGCGGGGGAUAACAUUCGGAAACGGGUGCUAAUACCGCAUAAUAUCUUCUUCCGCAUGGAAGAAGGUUGAAAGACGGCUCUGCUGUCACUUAUAGAUGACCUUGCGGUGCAUUAGUUAGUUGGUGGGGUAACGGCCUACCAAGACGAUGAUGCAUAGCCGACCUGAGAGGGUGAGCGGCCACAUUGGGACUGAGACGCGGCCCAAACUCCUACGGGAAGCAGCAGUAGGGAAUCUUCCACAAUGGACGAAAGUCUGAUGGAGCAACGCCGCGUGAGUGAUGAAGGUUUUCGGAUCGUAAAACUCUGUUGUAAGGGAAGAACAAGUACGUUAGGAAAUGAACGUACCUUGACGGUACCUUAUUAGAAAGCCACGGCUAACUACGUGCCAGCCGCCGCCGUAA